RNAcentral lists this ribosomal RNA (440 nucleotides) under uncultured bacterium. Its description in RNAcentral is "partial 16S ribosomal RNA". It matches the Rfam family "Bacterial small subunit ribosomal RNA", at positions 338 to 795 of the family's 1533-position model. The record is from RNAcentral.
CCUACGGGAGGCAGCAGUGGGGAAUAUUGCACAAUGGGGGAAACCCUGAUGCAGCGACGCCGCGUGAGUGAAGAAGUAUUUCGGUACGUAAAGCUCUAUCAGCAGGGAAGAAAAUGACGGUACCUGACUAAGAAGCCCCGGCUAACUACGUUCCAGCAGCCGCAGUAAUACGUAGGGGGCAAGCGUUAUCCGGAUUUACUGGGUGUAAAGGGAGCGUAGACGGCAGUGCAAGUCUGGAGUGAAAUCCCAUGGCUUAACCAUGGAACUGCUGUGGAAACUGUGCAGCUAGAGUGCAGGAGAGGUAAGCGGAAUGCCUAGUGUAGCGGUGAAAUGCGUAGAUAUUAGGAGGAACACCAGUGGCGAAGGCGGCUUACUGGACUGUAACUGACGUUGAGGCUCGAAAGCGUGGGGAGCAAACAGGAUUAGAUACCCCUGUAGUC